GAUGAACGCUGGCGGCGUGCCUAAUACAUGCAAGUCGAGCGAACGGACGAGAAGCUUGCUUCUCUGAUGUUAGCGGCGGACGGGUGAGUAACACGUGGAUAACCUACCUAUAAGACUGGGAUAACUUCGGGAAACCGGAGCUAAUACCGGAUAAUAUUUUGAACCGCAUGGUUCAAAAGUGAAAGACGGUCUUGCUGUCACUUAUAGAUGGAUCCGCGCUGCAUUAGCUAGUUGGUAAGGUAACGGCUUACCAAGGCAACGAUGCAUAGCCGACCUGAGAGAGUGAUCGGCCACACUGGAACUGAGACACGGUCCAGACUCCUACGGGAGGCAGCAGUAGGGAAUCUUCCGCAAUGGGCGAAAGCCUGACGGAGCAACGCCGCGUGAGUGAUGAAGGUCUUCGGAUCGUAAAACUCUGUUAUUAGGGAAGAACAUAUGUGUAAGUAACUGUGCACAUCUUGACGGUACCUAAUCAGAAAGCCACGGCUAACUACGUGCCAGCAGCCGCGGUAAUACGUAGGUGGCAAGCGUUAUCCGGAAUUAUUGGGCGUAAAGCGCGCGUAGGGCGGUUUUUAAGUCUGAUGUGAAAGCCCACGGCUCAACCGUGGAGGGUCAUUGGAAACUGGAAAACUUGAGUGCAGAAGAGGAAAGUGGAAUUCCAUGUGUAGCGGUGAAAUGCGCAGAGAUAUGGAGGAACACCAGUGGCGAAGGCGACUUUCUGGUCUGUAACUGACGCUGAUGUGCGAAAGCGUGGGGAUCAAACAGGAUUAGAUACCCUGGUAGUCCACGCCGUAAACGAUGAGUGCUAAGUGUUAGGGGGUUUCCGCCCCUUAGUGCUGCAGCUAACGCAUUAAGCACUCCGCCUGGGGAGUACGACCGCAAGGUUGAAACUCAAAGGAAUUGACGGGGACCCGCACAAGCGGUGGAGCAUGUGGUUUAAUUCGAAGCAACGCGAAGAACCUUACCAAAUCUUGACAUCCUUUGACAACUCUAGAGAUAGAGCCUUCCCCUUCGGGGGACAAAGUGACAGGUGGUGCAUGGUUGUCGUCAGCUCGUGUCGUGAGAUGUUGGGUUAAGUCCCGCAACGAGCGCAACCCUUAAGCUUAGUUGCCAUCAUUAAGUUGGGCACUCUAAGUUGACUGCCGGUGACAAACCGGAGGAAGGUGGGGAUGACGUCAAAUCAUCAUGCCCCUUAUGAUUUGGGCUACACACGUGCUACAAUGGACAGUACAAAGGGCAGCGAAACCGCGAGGUCAAGCAAAUCCCAUAAAGUUGUUCUCAGUUCGGAUUGUAGUCUGCAGCUCGACUACAUGAAGCUGGAAUCGCUAGUAAUCGUAGAUCAGCAUGCUACGGUGAAUACGUUCCCGGGUCU
This 1372-nucleotide ribosomal RNA is filed under the name uncultured bacterium. Its description in RNAcentral is "bacterial SSU rRNA". It matches the Rfam family "Bacterial small subunit ribosomal RNA", at positions 28 to 1381 of the family's 1533-position model. The record is from RNAcentral.